RNAcentral lists this ribosomal RNA (759 nucleotides) under uncultured Shewanella sp. RNAcentral describes it as "bacterial SSU rRNA". It matches the Rfam family "Bacterial small subunit ribosomal RNA", at positions 28 to 776 of the family's 1533-position model. Lineage: Bacteria; Pseudomonadati; Pseudomonadota; Gammaproteobacteria; Alteromonadales; Shewanellaceae. The record is from RNAcentral.
AUUGAACGCUGGCGGCAGGCCUAACACAUGCAAGUCGAGCGGCAGCACAAGGGAGUUUACUCCUGAGGUGGCGAGCGGCGGACGGGUGAGUAAUGCCUAGGGAUCUGCCCAGUCGAGGGGGAUAACAGUUGGAAACGACUGCUAAUACCGCAUACGCCCUACGGGGGAAAGGAGGGGACCUUCGGGCCUUCCGCGAUUGGAUGAACCUAGGUGGGAUUAGCUAGUUGGUGAGGUAAUGGCUCACCAAGGCGACGAUCCCUAGCUGUUCUGAGAGGAUGAUCAGCCACACUGGGACUGAGACACGGCCCAGACUCCUACGGGAGGCAGCAGUGGGGAAUAUUGCACAAUGGGGGAAACCCUGAUGCAGCCAUGCCGCGUGUGUGAAGAAGGCCUUCGGGUUGUAAAGCACUUUCAGUAGGGAGGAAAGGGUGUAACUUAAUACGUUAUAUCUGUGACGUUACCUACAGAAGAAGGACCGGCUAACUCCGUGCCAGCAGCCGCGGUAAUACGGAGGGUCCGAGCGUUAAUCGGAAUUACUGGGCGUAAAGCGUGCGCAGGCGGUUUGUUAAGCGAGAUGUGAAAGCCCUGGGCUCAACCUAGGAAUAGCAUUUCGAACUGGCGAACUAGAGUCUUGUAGAGGGGGGUAGAAUUCCAGGUGUAGCGGUGAAAUGCGUAGAGAUCUGGAGGAAUACCGGUGGCGAAGGCGGCCCCCUGGACAAAGACUGACGCUCAUGCACGAAAGCGUGGGGAGCAAACAGG